Molecule: unclassified non-coding RNA, 301 nt
Filed under: plant metagenome
Also listed under: 1 other name
Description: partial contains 5.8S ribosomal RNA, internal transcribed spacer 2, and large subunit ribosomal RNA
Rfam family: 5.8S ribosomal RNA (bases 1-105)
Source: RNAcentral
GAAAUGCGAUAAGUAGUGUGAAUUGCAGAAUUCAGUGAAUCAUCGAAUCUUUGAACGCACAUUGCGCCCCUUGGUAUUCCAUGGGGCAUGCCUGUUCGAGCGUCAUUUGUACCCUCAAGCUCUGCUUGGUGUUGGGUGUUUGUCCUCUCCUCUGCGUUUGGACUCGCCUUAAAGCAAUUGGCAGCCAGUGUUUUGGUAUUGAAGCGCAGCACAUUUUGCGAUUCUAGCCGAUAAUACUUGCGUCCAUAAGCCUUUUUUAACUUUUGACCUCGGAUCAGGUAGGGAUACCCGCUGAACUUAA